RNAcentral lists this ribosomal RNA (450 nucleotides) under uncultured bacterium. RNAcentral's name for it is "partial 16S ribosomal RNA". It matches the Rfam family "Bacterial small subunit ribosomal RNA", at positions 338 to 795 of the family's 1533-position model. The record is from RNAcentral.
CCUACGGGGGGCUGCAGUGGGGAAUUUUGGACAAUGGGGGCAACCCUGAUCCAGCCAUUCCGCGUGAGUGAAGAAGGCCUUCGGGUUGUAAAGCUCUUUCGCAAGGGAAGAAAACUUACUCAAUAACACUGGGUGAGGCUGACGGUACCUUGAUAAGAAGCACCGGCUAACUACGUGCCGGCAGCCGCGGUCAUACGUAGGGUGCGAGCGUUACGUGGAGUUACCGGGGGUGAUGUUGUAACAGGGGGUUGAAAUCCCCGGGCUCAACCUGGGAACUGCGUUUGAAACUACAAGGCUAGAGUAUGGCAGAGGGGGGUAGAAUUCCACGUGUAGCAGUGAAAUGCGUAGAGAUGUGGAGGAAUACCAAUGGCGAAGGCAGCCCCCUGGGUCAAUACUGACGCUCAUGCACGAAAGCGUGGGGAGCAAACAGGAUUAGAUACCCCUGUAGUC